GACUGAGCCACCCAAGUGCCCCAGCCACGAAGUAUUUUUUAAUUAAGGUAUAUGCAUUUUUUUAAAGACGUGAUACUACUGCACAUCUAAGAGACUACAGGAGAGUGUAAACAUAACUUCUAUAUGCUCUGGGAAACCAAAACAUCUGGCAGGUUUUACUUCAGUGACCUGGGACCGAACUGGCGGCAUCUCCGAGGUGUGCCUGUGAAGGGCAGGGAAGGAGAGAGAUUCUACUGUCCACCUAUGACCACUUCUUCACUUCCCUCUUCCAAUAAGGACAUAGGAUGGCCCAACUAAAGUACUUACUUAUUUUAUAGGCAUCUGGUUUAAUCUUUAUUCCUUUGCUGCUGCCAUGCUCCUCUGGGCUCCCCUUCUCCUUGUAGCACCCAAAGCAGAGUUGACAAUGAUGUUCGUAGCUGUGGUGGCCACAUAGAUCCCGCCGACUUCUUCCGGACGCUUCUAUCAGGUGCCCUUCCAGGAGCCUCAGACCCACCAUUUCCUGAACAGAACUCCUUGUCUUCCCCCCAGACCGGCACUGCUCUGGCCUCAGUGGCCGGAGGAGGCACCCCCUUCCCAGAUGAGGGAGGCAGGAAUCACCAUCCUCUCGAUAUUUCUGAAUUGGCAAAAUGGUCAGGGCCUCUGGCUUUGUGUUAAAGUCCUGGCUCUGCCUCUCACUAGGUGUGUGGUCUUGUGGCUGUUUCCUCACCUUUCUUAGUCUCGGUUCUUGCAUUUAUUAAAUGGGUAUAAAGAAUAAAGACAAAGCCCUUUGUAAAGCCCUUAGCAAGUGGCCGGCACAUAGGGCACCUGUGUGGUAAGAGAUGUUGUCAUUACUACUAACACUGUCCUCUACAGACCUUCAUCGUCUUGUGUCUGAGCUGGGUCUUGGGCUUGCUUGCCUCUAGCCUCCUCUCUUGAAGCCUCCCUCCCAAGUAGCAACCAGGAUGAGCUCAGCAUUGUACACAGAAGACCAUUAUCAGUCUCCUGCUUAAAGCUCUGUGGUCUGCUGCCACACGGGCUAGUCCCCACGCUCAGCGUCCUGCGGACACCUCCCGUCGUAUCGCCCACCCGUUCUGCUUCAAUUUCAUGGUCAGAGACACUAAACUCUGAGACUCCUGCCUCAUCUGCGUCCCAGCACCAGCUCCAACACACACACGGUGCUGCUGCUCAUCACGGCUCCUCUGCUCCUAGGAGUACCUCGGUCCCUGCAUUUGCCAUACUGUAGUUUAGGACCUGCUGGUAUGUCUGUCACCUGUCAGAGACGAAGCUUCUUGGGGGUAGGAAUUUUGUUUGGAUCCUUUAGAUAUUCAAAACCCAGUGAAGUCCCUGGUCCUCAGUGGGUGCACAGUAAAUGUUUGCUGCAUGACUUACCGAGUAUCAACACCAAGUGAAAGUCUUUACAGAACAGGUUACUGCUGACCCUUACGACAAACUUGGAGAGUAAGUACCAGUAUGCCCAUUUCACUGAUGGGGAAACUGAAGCUCAGAGAGGUUACGUUUGAUCAAGGUUAAGGUGGCUACGUCUGGAUUCAAACCCAGAUCUUCUGACUCCUAACCCAUAUUCCUACUGCUGCACCACAGCGUGUUGUUAAGCAAAAAUAAAGCCUUCCCGGGGGCUCAUGGAAGGUGCUUGGGAAUCACUGUUGGCUGCUUUCCAAAGCCUUGAGAGCUGGCUCAGCCCCACCGCUGUGGGGCUGUGGGACUCCAACUGAAGAGCUCUUUUUCAGUCCCCUUCCUUAAAGUCUGCAGUAGUGAUGGAGUCUAUUUCCCAAGCUGCCUCCUUCUGCUUUCCUUCUUUGGCUCCUCCCCCUACCUACAAAAUGUGGACACUCUCGCUGCUUCCCCGUUUGCAUUUCUGUUGCCUACACCCUCCUUCUGAUCUCAGUCCCUGUCCCUGUCCUGUGGCAGAGAUGACCACCAGAUUGCUAUGCCCCGCCCCCCAAGCGACAUAUGGCCAGCGGGGGACUCCCCGUCCAGGUCCCCUGCAUGUGGGUGGGGUCAAGAGGCUGAGGUCCGGCCGAUGCAAUAUCUGGCUCCGGAAAACCACCUCUGAGAUCCUCCAUGUUCUGUGGUAGAUGGUUGUCUACUGAAGGGUGAGCCUCACAGCUUCCCUCAGUCAGGAUCCUUGCAUUACCACAGGAUCAGAGCCCCACAGGUUGGCGUUCUGUGAGCAAGAAAUGAACUUCUGGUGUGUAUCUCAGGCUGGGGAGGCUGUUGCAGUAGCCAGGAGGCCUCCACUAAGACCCCUAACUGACCUUCGUGUUCCUGGGCUCUCCCUACCCCAGAAGCCUCCUCAUUCCCCUCUCCCCUAUAUCCCAUUGCUAACCCAGUCUUCCUUCAGUCCAUCUGGGGCGUGUCCCUGUCUUGCCCCCAAGUCUUCAGCGACCUCCUUCUCAUCUACAGACACAAGGACAAGCUUCUGGAAGAGGCAUGGAGACCUCAAGCCCCUGGCUUUUUCUCAUGUGAAAUCAGAAUACUCAGAGUUGCCCAAAUGUAUCCUGCCCAUGCUCAUGUUUUCUGUCUUCGUCAAAAUCCCUCAUUUAGAAUCCCUCCUUCUCUGACUUUUCGGGUCAUCCGGCCAUACCAACUGAGGAGCGCCUACCGUCCUCUGCCUGUGUGUCACCCAGGGCCCUCCCUGUCUGUCCCACCCUGCAGGUGUGUGUGCUCACUCCUACUGGACUGUUGGCGCCCCGAGCACAAGCCCAGGCCCCCACCGUCACCCCUGGGCCAGCCAGAGCCCCCUCCCUGCCCACCCCCCCAGGCAAGCCUCCAUCUUUCUUUCUCGAGGGUGAGGCCGGGGAUUGUGGAGUAUACACAACCAGCUCAUCCAUCUUCCUCCUCCCAACACACUCACAGGGCUGGCUGGGUGACCUUUUGCAUCUGUGGAUUCCCCUCACGUUCUCUCUCUCUUUUUUUUCUUUUCCAACACGGGGUCUUGGAGCUUGCUCUGAGGCCUGGCCGGGCUGGGAAGAAGUUGUCUGCUCUGUUAUAUUUAGGCUAGCAGAGCCAUCAAUCCAAGCCUUGUUUCAGCUGGAUCCCCCAGCACGUCCCCACCCACUCCUAACGAGAGGCCGAUCGCCUCCUCCGGGUCGCAGGCUCCAUUUCCGACCUUCACGUGGCCCACACAUGUGUGAGCGUGUGGUAGAUGUCGGUGAACGCUCGCCCUCCCCGGCCACGUUCAAAGGAGGGUCUCUCUCCUCUUCAGGCCUUCCUUCGCUGGGACUUUUCUCUCCUUCUGUCCUGAGGAUCUUGUGACCUUCUUCAAGCCCUCUUCCCUCCCAGAUUAGCCAGCAGCAAACCUCGUUGAUGGGGAAAACACGGCCUCCUCCAGAGCUUCUCGGUCCUGUCUUUCUCCUUGCCCACAGGGCGGCUGCCCUGGCGGUCAUGGGGGAGAAGCAGGCAGAAGACAAAGACCAGACACUGAAGCAGAAAGCAGGGUUGGCAGUCAGCUAGAACGUGGGAGGAAGGGCCCGCGCAUGAACACGCCUCGUGAGCCGCUUGUGCGUGUCUGCGGGUGUGCACACGCGUGUGGAGCGCACCCAGGGGGCACGAGAGGCCGCGCACGGGAACACUGGGGCCGACCCUUCCUACUCCUUGACUUGGCGACUGCAGCCCUGGUUCGUUUCCAUCCCCACUGAUGAAACGCUUCUUUAUGUCUUAUUCACAUCCUGUCUUGACUACCACAAUUGUCUCCUUGCCGGGCCCACAUGUCUCUCAUCACCAAUGGGAUCCAAAUGUUGCUGACAAAAUAAUCUCGCUGCCUUUGGGCUGCAGUCACAUUCCUCCCCUUUUCCAAAGUUUUCUCCGUCUCCCAUCCCUGGGCGAAUCGCGCACACGGACCACCGCCUCUCUCUGCGUCUCCGUUUCCCCCUCGGCUCCCGCUCCCGGUCCUCUCUCUGUUUUUUCUAUGGGCUCCUUUCCCUCCUCUGGCUAUUCCUGGGCUCCCGGCUCAGGCGGGCCUGUGCCGGUUUCCUGGCACGAGCUCCCUGCACUGUGUGCUCUGUCAGCCAAUGUUUAUGGAGAGUGACAGGCACUCUUCUAGGCACUGGAGUGAAGCAAGAUACAAAACUGAGGACAGCGGUCAGCAAAGAAAAACAGAAUGGCCUGUCGAGGACUGAUUGUAUUUUGAAGUCGUCUCUACACCCAGCAUGGGCCUCACACCUCCAGCCCCAAGAUGAAGAGCCGUACCGUAUGCUCCCCUGACGGAGCCAGCUAGGCACCCCCAUUUUUAUCUUAUUAAUGUGGCUAUUACAAAAUAUAAAAUUGCAUA
This is a long non-coding RNA of Mustela erminea (ermine), 4267 nucleotides long. RefSeq lists it as uncharacterized. The transcript is spliced from 2 exons. The record is from RefSeq and is a predicted model, not a curated record. NCBI's taxonomy places the organism in Eukaryota, Metazoa, Chordata, Mammalia, Carnivora, Mustelidae.